This 60-nucleotide transfer RNA is filed under the name Dipodomys ordii (Ord's kangaroo rat). It matches the Rfam family "tRNA", at positions 7 to 64 of the family's 71-position model. Rfam says of the family: Transfer RNA (tRNA) molecules are approximately 80 nucleotides in length. Their secondary structure includes four short double-helical elements and three loops (D, anti-codon, and T loops). The record is from Rfam by way of RNAcentral. Lineage: Eukaryota; Metazoa; Chordata; Mammalia; Rodentia; Heteromyidae.
GUAGCUCAGUUGUAGAGUGCUUGCCUUGCAUGCAUGAGGGCCUGGGUUCAAUUCCUCAGC